AACGAACGAUGGCGGCAUGCCUAACACAUGCAAGUCGAACGAACUCUUCGGAGUUAGUGGCGCACGGGUGCGUAACGCGUGGGAAUCUGCCCUUGGGUACGGAAUAACUCAGAGAAAUUUGUGCUAAUACCGUAUAAUGACUUCGGUCCAAAGAUUUAUCGCCCAAGGAUGAGCCCGCGUAAGAUUAGCUAGUUGGUGGGGUAAAAGCCUACCAAGGCGACGAUCUUUAGCUGGUCUGAGAGGAUGAUCAGCCACACUGGGACUGAGACACGGCCCAGACUCCUACGGGAGGCAGCAGUGGGGAAUAUUGGACAAUGGGCGAAAGCCUGAUCCAGCAAUGCCGCGUGAGUGAUGAAGGCCUUAGGGUUGUAAAGCUCUUUUACCCGGGAUGAUAAUGACAGUACCGGGAGAAUAAGCUCCGGCUAACUCCGUGCCAGCAGCCGCGGU
This 447-nucleotide ribosomal RNA is filed under the name uncultured bacterium. RNAcentral's name for it is "bacterial SSU rRNA". It matches the Rfam family "Bacterial small subunit ribosomal RNA", at positions 29 to 521 of the family's 1533-position model. The record is from RNAcentral.